Molecule: ribosomal RNA, 1359 nt
Filed under: uncultured bacterium
Lineage: Bacteria
Description: bacterial SSU rRNA
Rfam family: Bacterial small subunit ribosomal RNA
Source: RNAcentral
GAUGAACGCUGGCGGCGUGCUUAACACAUGCAAGUCGAACGAAGCACUUAUCUUUGAUUCUUCGGAUGAAGAGGUUUGUGACUGAGUGGCGGACGGGUGAGUAACGCGUGGGUAACCUGCCUCAUACGGGGGGAUAACAGUUAGAAAUGACUGCUAAUACCGCAUAAGACCACGGAGCUGCAUGGCUCAGUGGGAAAAACUCCGGUGGUAUGAGAUGGACCCGCGUCUGAUUAGGUAGUUGGUGGGGUAACGGCCUACCAAGCCAACGAUCAGUAGCCGACCUGAGAGGGUGACCGGCCACAUUGGGACUGAGACACGGCCCAAACUCCUACGGGAGGCAGCAGUGGGGAAUAUUGCACAAUGGGGGAAACCCUGAUGCAGCGACGCCGCGUGAGCGAAGAAGUAUUUCGGUAUGUAAAGCUCUAUCAGCAGGGAAGAAAAUGACGGUACCUGACUAAGAAGCACCGGCUAAAUACGUGCCAGCAGCCGCGGUAAUACGUAUGGUGCAAGCGUUAUCCGGAUUUACUGGGUGUAAAGGGAGCGUAGACGGCUGUGUAAGUCUGAAGUGAAAGCCCGGGGCUCAACCCCGGGACUGCUUUGGAAACUAUGCAGCUAGAGUGUCGGAGAGGUAAGUGGAAUUCCCAGUGUAGCGGUGAAAUGCGUAGAUAUUGGGAGGAACACCAGUGGCGAAGGCGGCUUACUGGACGAUGACUGACGUUGAGGCUCGAAAGCGUGGGGAGCAAACAGGAUUAGAUACCCUGGUAGUCCACGCCGUAAACGAUGACUACUAGGUGUCGGGGAGCAAAGCUCUUCGGUGCCGCAGCAAACGCAAUAAGUAGUCCACCUGGGGAGUACGUUCGCAAGAAUGAAACUCAAAGGAAUUGACGGGGGACCCGCACAAGCGGUGGAGCAUGUGGUUUAAUUCGAAGCAACGCGAAGAACCUUACCUGCUCUUGACAUCCCGGUGACCGGCAUGUAAUGAUGCCUUUUCUUCGGAACACCGGUGACAGGUGGUGCAUGGUUGUCGUCAGCUCGUGUCGUGAGAUGUUGGGUUAAGUCCCGCAACGAGCGCAACCCUUAUCUUCAGUAGCCAGCAAUUCGGAUGGGCACCCUGGAGAGACUGCCAGGGAUAACCUGGAGGAAGGUGGGGAUGACGUCAAAUCAUCAUGCCCCUUAUGAGCAGGGCUACACACGUGCUACAAUGGCGUAAACAAAGGGAAGCGAGCCUGCGAGGGUAAGCAAAUCUCAAAAAUAACGUCUCAGUUCGGAUUGUAGUCUGCAACUCGACUACAUGAAGCUGGAAUCGCUAGUAAUCGCGAAUCAGCAUGUCGCGGUGAAUACGUUCCCGGGUCUUGCACU